AACGAACGCUGGCGGCAUGCCUAACACAUGCAAGUCGAACGAGACCUUCGGGUCUAGUGGCGCACGGGUGCGUAACGCGUGGGAACCUGCCCUUAGGUUCGGAAUAACUCCCCGAAAGGGGUGCUAAUACCGGAUAAUGUCUUCGGACCAAAGAUUUAUCGCGUUUGGAUGGGCCCGCGUUGGAUUAGCUAGUUGGUAGGGUAAAAGCCUACCAAGGCGACGAUCCAUAGCUGGUCUGAGAGGAUGCUCAGCCACACUGGGACUGAGACACGGCCCAGACUCCUACGGGAGGCAGCAGUGUGGAAUAUUGGACAAUGGGCGAAAGCCUGAUCCAGCAAUGCCGCGUAAGUGAGGAAGGCCGUAGUGUUGUAAAUCUCUUUGACCCGGGAUGAUAAUGACAGUACCGGGAGAAUAAGCUCCGGCUAACUCCGUG
RNAcentral lists this ribosomal RNA (433 nucleotides) under uncultured bacterium. Its description in RNAcentral is "partial 16S ribosomal RNA". It matches the Rfam family "Bacterial small subunit ribosomal RNA", at positions 29 to 507 of the family's 1533-position model. The record is from RNAcentral.